RNAcentral lists this long non-coding RNA (1134 nucleotides) under Linum usitatissimum (flax). Its description in RNAcentral is "long non-coding RNA (LUSI_LNC007861)". Lineage: Eukaryota; Viridiplantae; Streptophyta; Magnoliopsida; Malpighiales; Linaceae. The record is from RNAcentral.
UCAUUCAAUGUCGAUCGUGAAUCAUUAUCAAGCGUUCCAUCCUCGUCACUCUAUCUCAUAAAUCUCUUCAACGUGGAUUCCAUUCUUCCCCAUAUGAAUCCCCAUCAUUUCCACUAUUCCAUGGCUUAAUUAAUCCAAUUCAAUCAUCGAUUCCAAUCUCCAAGGCUAUUGUUUAAUGAAUCUGGCUUUAAUUCUGAUUUCCAGCUUCCAAUUCAUAGCUUCUUCAUAUCGAUGGUUCAACCGUGGCUGACUAUAAGGGGGGAACCACAUCUCCAGGUGGAUUCAAGUUCUCAUCUCCAUCCUUGCAUCUAUCAUUAGGUAAGCGUUGAAGGAACCCUUCAAAUUUGCCGAUUUUGUAUCUUUGUCAAUCAAUAUCGUCUAAAUCAAACAUUCACAGUUUGGAAAUCAUACAUGUAGGUUUCUCGUUUAUGGUCUUUCAGGCUUUAGGUCAUUUUUGUUUGUUGCAAGCUUCUUGUGUUCGUCAAUCAAGAUUUGAAGAAGGUAAAUAUUUCCUGGUUUCAUCUUUUAGUUUAAUCGGCUGUCUUCAAAUAGUCUUAGAUCCUGGUUUCAUCUUUUUGUUUCAUCUUUUGGGUUUAGUACUUGUAAUACAGAGUAGAUCCUUCUAAAAUUUGAACUCUUGAAACUGGAGGAUUUUAUAUAUGCUUACAACUUCAAACAGUUGAUGUUUAAUGGUCUCAUCAUUGUCUUACAGUUGUUGUUGUUUAAUCGGUUGUAGGAAUGGAGGGUGAAGCUCAGGCUGUUGCACCGGAAAGAGCAGUUCAAGUUCCAGAUUGAUGAGACCAUUAAACAAUGAACAACCAAUGGAUGUUGAAGGUUUUGUGAUGGAAGAUAUUGAUUGAUGAGCUGGACUGCUAGUGUUGGUGGACGAGCACUGCUGAAUUUGCUGGACUGUUCUUGUUGUUGACUUGUUGUUACUGAUUUACUACUAGUGUAGUGUUGUUUGGAUUUUGUUUCCACAGUUUGUUAAGUUUGUUUAAGGAUGAUGGAUGGAUAAGUGUUUUUGGUUAAGUUUUCACAGUUUAAGUUACAACUGAAUCCCACAAUCUAGUUAAGUUUUCAAUUUCUGCAAUUUUUUGAAAUUUCUAAAAUUUUCAGCAAUUUAUGCAGUUUUGG